This is a long non-coding RNA of Hypomesus transpacificus, 2615 nucleotides long. RefSeq lists it as uncharacterized. The transcript has 4 exons. NCBI's taxonomy places the organism in Eukaryota, Metazoa, Chordata, Actinopteri, Osmeriformes, Osmeridae. The record is from RefSeq and is a predicted model, not a curated record.
AUGUUCUUUUCCAUGAUGUUCUUUCAAACGUACAAGUACAGCUGAAAAAAAUGCCAUUCCGGAUGUUUCUUGAAGUAGAAUAACAGUUAUCAUUGAUCAAAUAAUAAUUAUGUUUUGGAUAUGGUAAUGCAACUCAUGCAUUUGCUUUAAUAACUUUCAUAUUUCCAAUAGGUGAGGUCUUAUUUUAGUGACCAGACUUACUCAUAUGAUGCAAUCGAAAGCAAGUAUUAGUAGCAGUAACUUUCACCACCUAAACUCAAGCCCUGCAUCCCAAAUUGCACUUAUUCCUUUUCCCUUCAGUACGUACUGUAGCUGCCCUUUCAAAGUCUGUACUGUUGCAUACAGUGUGCAUACAAUUGGGACGUACUACUUCAUCAUUCCAGUGUGCCUUGAAUAUAGACGCUCAUUCUCAGUCAUCUGUCACAGUUUGUUGCGCAAAAAUUUAACAUGGUUGAAAAAUCGUUUGGUGUUACAUUUUUUACCUUGAAAAAAAUGCUAUCAGUCGAGCUAGUCAGAGACACCCAUAGUUCUGUUGAAGGGCAACCAGGAGAGUUGUGCUGUUGUUACUUUGUAUGUGGUUCAGUGGAUGUGACAUACCUUCGGCUGUGCAGAGGAUUUUGGUUCAGAAUAGCCAGAAAAGUAUGCUGGCUUGUACUAGGACAUUCUUGUAUUUUUGGCAUACUGCAGUUGACAUACUACGUAUUGGGACAUGCAAAAUAUUUUUCUGACAUUCUACAUUAUAUUGUAGUAUUGGUACUGAGAAGCAUGCCAACUAUUGUAAGAAGGUCCCAGGGCUACCAAGUACUGACGGGCGCCCUGCCAAGCUACAACAUGUACCGUCCCAAUCAUUUUCCCAUCCUCCUCCUGUGCUAAACCACCUGUCAAAGCAACAGUAAAGUAUCAAAGAGGACUAAGGCUCAAAAGUCUGUCAGUUAACACACAAAUUGGUCCCUAAUCACAGACAUAUUGUGUUUCCAUUGCGCUUGUGUCACAAUGCACAUGAGGUCCAUUCCUCUUGUGAAGAGAUAGACUGACAGGUCAAGCUCUGGUACUGUUCCGAGGUAAAAACAGUGUCAGGUGAGCUCAAACGAUCCGACAAUCGCCAUCGCAUCCCCUCAAGGCAAGACCAAACGCUCACAGAACUCUCUGACAUGGAGAUGUUUAAUCUGAGGUGCUGAAACCUAGCUGUCCCCUAAGGAUGUGUGUGUGUGUGUGUGUGUGCGCACGUGUGACUACUGUUUUCUUUCAGACUCUCUCAGUCCAACAUUUAAGCAAUGAUUUCCUUGAGGGCUUUUUCACGGAGUGUGACAUACCUGUCAAGUUUCCACAGCAGUUGGGAAAUAGACACUCGGGUGUGCUGCUGAAACCAGAGUGUUGCAGUGUUCCAAUCAUUGUAAACCAUUUACACUGUAAUAGGGCUCUAAUGCAUGUCUUAGCAAGCCUGAUAACCAACUGUCAUUAUUCCGUACAAAACACACCUAUAAGACAAUUGCACAAUCGUUAAAAACUUCUACGAGGUGCCGAGCAGUGAAUCUUGAUGUAUGGCAGACUUGUAUGUGUGUGUAUGUGUGAGUGAGAGGGUGGAUUGAGGCAGGCAGGGGUGGGGGUGAAUUUUGUGUGGCGUAGGAGGAUCUGCCUGUCUGUCAGGUGUUGGUACUCACAUUAGUCACAUACAAACAAAGCAUUUUGGGAAGCGACGAUAGGCAACACAAAGAGAGUGUCCAGACUCUACUCAGCACCACAGAUACCCGAUCCCCUCUGUGAAAAUACAGCACUGACGGAGGAAAUAUCUUAAUCUUCUCAGAACACGUAUCUGUCGAUGAAGGAAUUCAUUUUGGCAGCCAAUCAAAUGGGAGGGUCAAUUGACUGCUGACGUGUGGAUAACUAGACUAUCUUGAUGAGACUGUCCAGAGAUUCUGACAAGCUGGGUGAAGCAGCAUCGGAGAGGUGAAGGCAAGAAUCCGAGGGGAACACAUGAAAGUCGUGUAUUGAAACGUCCAGGGCCGGGGGACUUGCUCUAUUGUCCGGGGCAGAUGCGGUGCCGGGGCCUAUUGUUGACACGCAGCCUGCAACAGUGAGUGACGGGUUGGGAAAAUGUUUCAGAUUUUUGUCAUUGCUGCUCAGUGGAGAAGUAGUAUAACUUUGGGCAUCGCUAUUGUGAUGGCCUACAUUCUGGAGCAGCUGUGUGGAGCUGAUGGUAUUUUGUUGAAAUGAGCAGGUUUCCCUCUCCAACAGGGCCCCAGACUCUCUAUUAAGGCUCUGUUCGAAUAUAGAGUCCUCGUCCUCGUCCUCUUCCUCCUCGCUAUGAAUCCCGUCCUCGGCAGUCGGCCCUUUCCCCUCACUGUUGUGAUUCUCCUUGCACUGAGUCUGCCUCUUGUGCUUCAUCCGCCGGUUCUGGAACCACACUUUCACCUGCCUCUCGGUGAGGUCCAACAAAGCAGCUAUUUCCACCCUUCUUGGUCUGCACAGAUACUUGUUGAAGUGAAACUCUUUCUCUAGCUCCAGGAGCUGUGUGUUGGUGUACGCUGUCCUCAACCGACGGGAACCCCCUCCUCCUCCACCGCCACUCUCCAGGAUCUCAGGCGAUCCUAAAGCAUCGUCAUUAAAAUUAAAAA